This 633-nucleotide ribosomal RNA is filed under the name uncultured bacterium. RNAcentral describes it as "bacterial SSU rRNA". The stretch from base 1 to 534 matches the Rfam family "Bacterial small subunit ribosomal RNA", at positions 338 to 873 of the family's 1533-position model. The record is from RNAcentral.
CCUACGGGAGGCAGCAGUGAGGAAUAUUGGACAAUGGGCGCAAGCCUGAUCCAGCCAUGCCGCGUGCAGGAAGAAGCAUCUAUGGUGUGUAAACUGCUUUUGUACAGGAAGAAACACUCCCUCGUGAGGGAGCUUGACGGUACUGUAAGAAUAAGGACCGGCUAACUCCGUGCCAGCAGCCGCGGUAAUACGGAGGGUCCGAGCGUUAUCCGGAAUCAUUGGGUUUAAAGGGUCCGUAGGCGGUUUAAUAAGUCAGUGGUGAAAUCUGGUCGCUCAACGAUCAAACGGCCAUUGAUACUGUUAGACUUGAAUUAUAAGGAAGUAACUAGAAUAUGUAGUGUAGCGGUGAAAUGCUUAGAUAUUACAUGGAAUACCAAUUGCGAAGGCAGGUUACUACUUAUGGAUUGACGCUGAUGGACGAAAGCGUGGGGAGCGGAACAGGAUUAGAUACCCUGGUAGUCCACGCCGUAAACGAUGGAUACUAGCUGUUCGGAGNAUNUGAGUGGNGUAGAGAAGAGAGUAAGUAGUACCACCGUCGGGAGGUACGGUUCGGUCGAAGAAGUUAGUAAACGUUAAAGUUAAAGUAAGUUAGUUACGGCGNGAGAGNGCGACGGACGACGACGAGGGAGGAGG